CCUACGGGAGGCAGCAGUGGGGAAUAUUGCACAAUGGGGGAAACCCUGAUGCAGCAACGCCGCGUGAGUGAUGACGGUCUUCGGAUUGUAAAACUCUGUCUUCAGGGACGAUAAUGACGGUACCAAAGGAGGAAGCCACGGCUAACUACGUGCCAGCAGCCGCGGUAAU
Molecule: ribosomal RNA, 169 nt
Filed under: uncultured Clostridium sp.
Lineage: Bacteria; Bacillati; Bacillota; Clostridia; Eubacteriales; Clostridiaceae
Description: partial 16S ribosomal RNA
Rfam family: Bacterial small subunit ribosomal RNA
Source: RNAcentral